AGUUUGAUCAUGGCUCAGAUUGAACGCUGGCGGCAGGCCUAACACAUGCAAGUCGAGCGGUAGAGAGAAGCUUGCUUCUCUUGAGAGCGGCGGACGGUGAGUAAUACCUAGGAAUCUGCCUGGAUAGUGGGGGAUAACGUUCGGAAACGGACGCUAAUACCGCAUACGUCCUACGGGAGAAAGCAGGGGACCUUCGGGCCUUGCGCUAUAAGAUGAGCCUAGGUCGGAUUAGCUAGUUGGUGAGGUAAUGGCUCACCAAGGCUACGAUCCGUAACUGGUCUGAGAGGAUGAUCAGUCACACUGGAACUGAGACACGGUCCAGACUCCUACGGGAGGCAGCAGUGGGGAAUAUUGGACAAUGGGCGAAAGCCUGAUCCAGCCAUGCCGCGUGUGUGAAGAAGGUCUUCGGAUUGUAAAGCACUUUAAGUUGGGAGGAAGGGCAUUAACCUAAUACGUUAGUGUCUUGACGUUACCGACAGAAUAAGCACCGGCUAACUCUGUG
RNAcentral lists this ribosomal RNA (502 nucleotides) under uncultured bacterium. RNAcentral describes it as "bacterial SSU rRNA". It matches the Rfam family "Bacterial small subunit ribosomal RNA", at positions 10 to 507 of the family's 1533-position model. The record is from RNAcentral.